ACGGAAGGCAGCAGUGGGGAAUAUUAGGCAAUGGGGGGAACCCUGACCUAGCAACGCCGCGUGAAGGAUGAAGGUUUUCGGAUUGUAAACUUCUUUGGCAGGGGACGAUAAUGACGGUACCCUGGGAACAAGCCACGGCUAACUACGUGCCAGCAGCCGCGGUAAUACGUAGGUGGCGAGCGUUGUCCGGAUUUACUGGGUGUAAAGGGCGAGUAGGCGGGAAUGCAAGUCAGAUGUGAAAUACCGAGGCUUAACCUCGGAGCUGCAUCUGAAACUGCAUUUCUUGAGUGAUGGAGAGGCAGGCGGAAUUCCCGGUGUAGCGGUGAAAUGCAUAGAGAUCGGGAGGAACACCAGUGGCGAAGGCGGCCUGCUGGACAUUAACUGACGCUGAGGCGCGAAAGUGUGGGGAGCAAACAGGAUUAGAUACCCUGGUA
RNAcentral lists this ribosomal RNA (434 nucleotides) under uncultured Oscillospiraceae bacterium. RNAcentral's name for it is "partial 16S ribosomal RNA". It matches the Rfam family "Bacterial small subunit ribosomal RNA", at positions 341 to 792 of the family's 1533-position model. The record is from RNAcentral. Lineage: Bacteria; Bacillati; Bacillota; Clostridia; Eubacteriales; Oscillospiraceae.